GAUGAAGAACGCGGCGAAAUGCGAUAAGUAAUGUGAAUUGCAGAAUUCAGUGAAUCAUCGAAUCUUUGAACGCACAUUGCGCCCGCCAGCAUUCUGGCGGGCAUGCCUGUUCGAGCGUCAUUUCAACCCUCGAGCCCCCCCGGGGGCCUCGGUGUUGGGGGACGGCACACCAGCCGCCCCCGAAAUGCAGUGGCGACCCCGCCGCAGCCUCCCCUGCGUAGUAGCACACACCUCGCACCGGAGCGCGGAGGCGGUCACGCCGUAAAACGCCCAACUUUCUUAGAGUUGACCUCGGAUCAGGUAGGAAUACCCGCUGAACUUAAGCAUAUCAAUAAGCGGAGGA
This 343-nucleotide unclassified non-coding RNA is filed under the name soil metagenome. RNAcentral's name for it is "partial contains 5.8S ribosomal RNA, internal transcribed spacer 2, and large subunit ribosomal RNA". The stretch from base 1 to 120 matches the Rfam family "5.8S ribosomal RNA", at positions 35 to 154 of the family's 154-position model. The record is from RNAcentral.